GAUGAACGCUGGCUACAGGCUUAACACAUGCAAGUCGAGGGGAAACGACGGGGAAGCUUGCUUCCCCGGGCGUCGACCGGCGCACGGGUGAGUAACGCGUAUCCAACCUGCCUCUGACUGAGGGAUAACCCGUCGAAAGUCGGCCUAAUACCUCAUGGCAUCGUCUGCGGGCAUCCAACGACGAUUAAAGAUUUCAUCGGUCAGGGAUGGGGAUGCGUCUGAUUAGCUGGUUGGCGGGGUAACGGCCCACCAAGGCGACGAUCAGUAGGGGUUCUGAGAGGAAGGUCCCCCACAUUGGAACUGAGACACGGUCCAAACUCCUACGGGAGGCAGCAGUGAGGAAUAUUGGUCAAUGGGCGGGAGCCUGAACCAGCCAAGUAGCGUGCAGGAUGACGGCCCUAUGGGUUGUAAACUGCUUUUAUGCGGGGAUAAAGUGAGGGACGUGUCCUUCAUUGCAGGUACCGCGUGAAUAAGGACCGGCUAAUUCCGUGCCAGCAGCCGCGGUAAUACGGAAGGUCCGGGCGUUAUCCGGAUUUAUUGGGUUUAAAGGGAGCGUAGGCCGUGGAUUAAGCGUGUUGUGAAAUGCAGGUGCUCAACGUCUGCACUGCAGCGCGAACUGGUCCACUUGAGUGUGCGCAACGCAGGCGGAAUUCGUCGUGUAGCGGUGAAAUGCUUAGAUAUGACGAAGAACUCCGAUUGCGAAGGCAGCUUGCGGGAGCACAACUGACGCUGAAGCUCGAAAGUGCGGGUAUCGAACAGG
This 760-nucleotide ribosomal RNA is filed under the name uncultured Prevotella sp. RNAcentral describes it as "bacterial SSU rRNA". It matches the Rfam family "Bacterial small subunit ribosomal RNA", at positions 28 to 776 of the family's 1533-position model. The record is from RNAcentral. Lineage: Bacteria; Pseudomonadati; Bacteroidota; Bacteroidia; Bacteroidales; Prevotellaceae.